GCAAACUUGGUCAUUUAGAGGAAGUAAAAGUCGUAACAAGGUUUCCGUAGGUGAACCUGCGGAAGGAUCAUUAUUGAGUUUUAUAAGGAGAGAGAUUUGCCUUUUGGCAUCUCUCCUUUUUCUCUCUUUUUCACCCUUUUGUCAUCAUUUUUCUCAGUUGCUUUGGCAGGUGGUUGCUCUCCUGCCAAGGGAUUUUUCUAAACACAUUUUUGUUAUCCAAUAAUCGGGAUAUCUCUCGUCUGAUUUCUUAUGACUUUUGAAUAAGUACAUAAAACUUUCAACAACGGAUCUCUUGGUUCUGGCAUCGAUGAAGAACGCAGC
Molecule: unclassified non-coding RNA, 321 nt
Filed under: uncultured fungus
Lineage: Eukaryota; Fungi
Description: partial contains small subunit ribosomal RNA, internal transcribed spacer 1, and 5.8S ribosomal RNA
Rfam family: Eukaryotic small subunit ribosomal RNA (bases 1-73)
Source: RNAcentral